Dalotia coriaria is the source of this 363-nucleotide long non-coding RNA. RefSeq lists it as uncharacterized. The record is from RefSeq and is a predicted model, not a curated record. The transcript is spliced from 2 exons. Lineage: Eukaryota; Metazoa; Arthropoda; Insecta; Coleoptera; Staphylinidae.
AGCAUCAGUUCAGCACUCACUGUUUAAAGAGUUAUAUUAAUUAUAAUUCAAUCCAAUUUACAAAAUGGCCGCCAGCAAAAUCACCAUCUUCUGCUUUGUGGCAAUCAUCGCUGUUUUGGCUAAUGUGGCAUCAGCCCAAGAUGUUAUCAAUACUGAUUGUUUGAUCGACUUGUCUAAUAUGGGAUUCGGACCGGAGUUCCAGGCUGUUGUGAACGCCAUUGUUCGUUUUCUGCAACAAAUCCUUUCUGGACUGGGGCUUGAUAAUCUUGUUUGUUAAUAAGCACUGAAUAUUAACAAAAUGUUCUAUAAAUACGCAAUUACACAAUUGAAUGUAAUAAAUAUAUUAAUAUAUUAACAAUACAA